UCAUACUCCUGUGAAUGUUGCUGCCUCUCAACAAAUGCCUUUGCCUUUAUGCUAUUCAGGGUCAAAUGAGGCAGUUGAGACUUCUGAAGGAGCACAACGGGAACAAAAUUGUCCCAGUCUAGCUACUUCUGAGUCAAAUCGGCCAAUCUUUAACAGCUUUGAUGGACAUCCUGCUGCAAUACUUUGUUCGAAGAAAUGGCUCUCUCUGGGAAAUAAAGAGGAGACGGACAUAUUCAGAAAGAUGGUGACAGAAGAUUAUUGAAUCUGAAAUCCCCUUUGCCUAUCAGUGACGAUGAAUGUGCAUUUCAUCUUGAACUAGGACAUCAAUUUCUACUGAACAAUGACAGCAAAAAUAUUAAAGUACACCAGCUUGAUAAAGUUUAUUCUGCCUAACUUGUUUCUUUACUAGCAAUCUGAUAAUAAUUUAUAGCAAAAGUAUGAAAUACUGAAAUGUAGGCAGUAUUCUUGAAAUGAUAUUACAUUUCUCGAUUAUGUCUUAGGCGGGUUUAAGCUCAGCCUAGACUUCAUGAUUGUCUACGAGAAAUCCCUCAAGAAAGGAGACCGCUUGAUUUUCAUACAUUUAUGUCUUAGGAAACUGAAUAGGCUUUAGGCUUGUACGAUGGGGAAAAUGAGUGGGCAAAGUAACAAUUUGGGGAGAUAUGGACUCAAAGAUCUUUAAUUUUGUCAGAGAGGGUCCUAUGAAGAAGGCUGUAAAUUUAAACUAAGUGGCCAAAUCCAAUGGCCAAUCAACCAACAACAUAAAUCCUGGAAAAUAGUCCAGUAAGAGACAGUUUCCAAGCCUGAUACCAUAGGAAGCAGCGAGGCAAGGAGUGCUAUUAAAAAAUAAAAACGCAAUCCUAGGUGUCUCA
This 869-nucleotide long non-coding RNA is filed under the name Monodelphis domestica (gray short-tailed opossum). RNAcentral's name for it is "lncRNA (ENSMODG00000046945.1)". Lineage: Eukaryota; Metazoa; Chordata; Mammalia; Didelphimorphia; Didelphidae. The record is from RNAcentral.